UAACCUUCCUGGUAAACCAGACGUGAGUGAAUUUUAUUCUAAAUUAAAAGGUAAUUUUUAGAUUUCUUUGAUACUUCCUAGAUUAAUUCUUCUCUCAAUACAUUAUCCAUUGUUCUUUAUACAAUUAUUACCUAAAUAUAUUACAUUUUCAAACGUUUAGAAACUUUAACUUUCGUUUUUGGCUCGAACAUAACAUACACAUCUUUAUGAUUAUUUAUAUUAUGUCCCAGAUCCGAGACAAGUUGUUUAUAAUGUUUUCGUUUUAAACAAGGAUAUAUCAAAAAGAAUAUGUACGGUACUAUAAUACACUACAAAAGUCAAAAAGUCUGAAAAGACCAGUUUUUGUCUUGAUUCGCAUGAACUUUUACUCGACAUUCUCCAAAAGUAUGACUUGUGUCUUAAUUUUUCUUGACAAUUUCUCAUUUAUAUCAAAUUUGUAUGAAAUUUACUAGACAUAUUCUCGACAUUCUGAAUAUGGUCUUAAAAUUUCUUGACAAUUCUUGAUAUUUGAAUACUGUCUCGAAAUUUCUCGACAUAUUCUCGACAUUCUUAUUUUUUCUCAGUAUGGCUUGACAUAUUUUGAACAUUUAGAAUUGUGUCUUACAUUUACUUGACAGUUCUGAGUUUUACAAACCAUGACCAAUAUUCAUAAUAUAACUUUAAUCUUUAUUUCUCUUUACAUAAUUAUAUAUAAUUUACUGUUGUUUCAAGGUACACUUUUUACAACAAGUAUAAAAGUUGGGCAUGUAAAAUAAUUGAAAAUUUGGGUAUCUAAAUAUUUUGACAAAUGUAAAUAUGGCUAUGAAAUAUAAUGUAUAAAAUAAUUUAAAUAUAGGUGUGUAAUGAUUAAAACCAAUCAUACUGUAGACAUAAUUCAUUCUACAUUCAUAACAUUCAAUAUUGUAAAUAAUUAUUGUACAAAAUGUGGUUUAUAUAAAUAGCAAAUUAUGAUGAUAUACAAAUCAUGCAUUUAACAGAAUAAAAAUUUGUGUAAUGUCAUCUGUUGGAAUAUAUUUUAAGUAUUUAUUACACAUGGACAGGAUGUUCCCCAUAAAAUUAAGGUAUUCCACACCCUCAGAAUACACGCAACUGUCAAAUAAAAAUUACUGAUUUACCUGAAAGCAACUUAUCAGUUGACCAUUCCAAAGAUUAAAAAAUGUAUCUCAAAGAGACAUGCAUAAAAUAGAUCUGAAUAUUUUUUUUCUUUUCAUGAUAGAGUUAUCACAAAAACAAUUCGUACAAUGUAACGGUUCCACGGAACCCAGUGUCUCGCCUACUAUUGCUGUUAAUUGCAAACUCAACAAAAAUGAGGAAAAACAUCAAUAAAAAUUUCCCUCUCGAUACUGUCUUUUGAUUGAAAGAAGCUUCCAAGUUUGAUAAAAAAUAUCAAGGAUAGUUUAUGGAUCUAAUAAAUGUUUUAUAAACUUUAACUGCAGACUGUAUGUAAUGUUAACUGAAAGAAAAACUAAGUCCAUUUAUAUAGCAACUUUACUUGACCAUAUAGAAAAAUAGGUAUUUAGUCGGAUCUUAACACGUACUUGUGAUUUGGUUAAAAACCGGUUUUGUUCAAAAUAUACGAAGAAAUGUCGAAAUGUUCAGGACUUAAUUACAUCCGUAUUUCGGUAGGAUGGUGCAAGCAUACGAUUUUAAUUGCGUCUUAUACUUUGAGAAGCGAAUAAUCUUCAACUACUUUAUUCAAAUAUUGUGUAAAAACGUUAAUUUUGAGCUAUGAAAGUCAAGUUGCUCGAGUAUUUUUCUGAGGAAGUUUAAAAAAAUUGCAAAGAAAUAUUUUUACAUUGGGUUAGCUUUCAUUAGUCUUAACUAUAUUGUUACGGCCAGAAAUCGCCUUUAAAUUGUAGCCAACAAAAGACACAAAUCAAUAGUAAAAUUUAACAAUAUUUAUUAUAAAAAAGUUUACAAGAAAUAUCACACAAAUAUUACUGUCAACUUAACUGUCAAAAUAUGAGUCCAAUCUUUUAUCUUUAUCUGUAUCCGGAUAUCUUUCGGAAUCCAAUCUGAAUAUUACGGUCACAAUCCAGUAUGAUGUUGUUUGUAGACUAAAAGUGUCAAUCCAAAGGCUAUGCAUAUUAAUGUCUAUCGAUGUCUAAGUCCAAAUCCAAGAGUAAGUCCAAGAGGAAGUCCAAGAGUGAGUGUUUAAUUUUAGUGUCGGUAUAUAUAUAAUUGUCAAGGAAAAUUCUGGAACAAUCUAUACUGGAACAUCCUAGAAAGUUACAAUGGAAGUUUCUAGUAAAAUGUAGAAGUUUAUAUAACGCAUCAUUUAUUAGGAUCAUUCUGGAAAGUUCCAAUCAUUCUGUAAUUGUUCCAGUGAUUUCUAAACUGCACAGUUCUAAGAUUAUUCUGUAAACAACCAUCAGGACACACAACACAAAUUAGGCCAACAUAAAUAAAUACAAUAAUUACAAUAUCAUAACAAUAUAUAGAUUAACAACUUUUGGUUAUAUUUAUAAUUUAGAAUCAUCAUUGAAGGUGGGGGACAAUUUCGCAGAUAAUUAAUUAUAUUGAUGUGCCAUUUGUAUGCAAGAGUGACAUUUCGUUGUAUUAUGUGCCAAUUCGAAAAAGUUAUGCGAGUAUUCUCUCCCCUUAACAGGUUCAUUAUUUUAUAAUUAAGUUUAGGUUUCUGAUAUAAUUUUGAAUAAUUACAAAAUGUAUCAAUUCAGUAUAUUUCAGUUUUUGUUAUUGGUGUAUCAAAAACACUGAUGUACGAAUAUAAUUUCAUAAAUUUGAAACGUUUAAAAUGAUAACAUACCAAUAUAAAGAACCGUUCAUCAUUUUUGAAAAAGACUAUGAACGAAAAUCGAUUUAUUUAUCUUCCCUUGGUGACAGAUUGAUUGGGAAAUGAACCAGCGUAAUAUAAUGGUAAUCACAGAGAGGGACCAGCAAGCAAUUUUUAAUUGUAGCUUAUUCAACGUUAAAACAAUUUUCCAAUAUAAACGAAUGUUACUUUAUACAAAUAUAAGGACUUUGUUAGCUAAAUCUACAAAUGAUAUUAGAUAUUAUGAUUUUUUAUUGCAAUAGAUUAAUAUGCUAAUUUAUAAGUAAAAUACGGAAAAAGUGAAUUUUUUUUUCACAAAAAAUAAUUCUGAAUAAUAUCUUAUGAUCAGAAACAAGCUUUUGUCUAAGUUUGGUAAAAAAUCCAGGAUAGUUUAAGAACAUUAUAAAAAUUUUAAAAACUUAAACCACAGAGUGAAUGUUUUGUUUCUGGCAAAAAAACUAAGUCCAUUUAUAAGUAAAAUACGGAAAAGUGGAAAUUUAUUUUUACAAAAUUUUCUUCUUGAUACUAUCUUAUGAUCAUAAACAAGCUUCUGUCCAAGUUUGGUACAAAUAAAGGAUAGUUUAUGAAAGUUAUUAAAAUUUUAAAAACUUUAACCAUAGAGUGAAUGUAAUGUUUCCUCGCAGAAAAACUAAGUCCAUUUAUAAGUAAACUACCGAAAAAAUGGAAUUUUAUUUUUACAAAAUUUACUUCUGGAUACUUUCUUAUGAUCAUAAACAAGCUUCUGUCCAAGUUUGGUACAAAUAAAGGAUAGUUUAUGAAAGUUAUUAAAAUUUUAAAAAACUUUAACCAUAGAGUGAAUGUAAUGUUUCCUCGCAGAAAAAACUAAGUCCAUUUAUAAGUAAACUACCGAAAAAAUGGAAUUUUAUUUUUACAAAAUUUACUUCUGGAUACUUUCUUAUGAUCAUAAACAAGCUUCUGUUCAAGUUUGGUAGAAAUUCAGUAUAGUUUAAGAAAGUUAUUAAAAUUUCAAAAACUUUAACCACAGAGUGAAUAUUUGUGGACGCCGCCGACGACGACGGAAUGUAGUCUCGCUUAGUCUCGCUUUUUCGACUGAAGUCGAAGGCUCGACAAAAAUAUAUAGAAUUCAACACUCAAAUUUGAAUAAAAAAUGUUUUUGUGUUGUUCUAAAAAAUGAAAAAGGUCUUUGAAUCAAGAUGCGAACAAAUUCUUUGAACUACAACCCCCCCCCCUUCUUUUUUUUUAGCCACACAAACCCAAAAGAUGGAUUGUGGGGUCCAAAAGAGACACAUGGUCACAUUUUAAAACUGCCUUCAAGACACCUUUUUUAGUAAAGCUAAUGUAACUGCCAUUUUUGCGAAUGGCAAAAAUCUAAAUGAUGUUUGUGAGUAACUUCGACUUAUAUUCCAAGUGAAAACAAUUAAUCAACCGUUUAAUAAAAAUAAAUCAAAUGUAAACUAUAUUAAAAAAAUUUCAGGGUAUUCCAACUUAGGUGCAACUCAGUUGAUACAGGAAGUGUCGAGAAAUUUUAAGACAAUGUUCAUACUGUCAAGACACUUGUCAAGAAAAAUCAAGAAGCUUAUUAGACGCAUUAAUACUAUGUCAAUAAUUUUUCAAAAUUAUUCAGACAAAUUAAGAAUGUCGAGUAAAAAUGCAUGCAAAUUCAGACAAAAACUGGUCUUUUAAGACUUUUUGACUUUUGUAGUGAUACCAAUACUUGGAUUAUGAAUAUAAUCAUACUAGCCAUAUGACCAUGAAAAGUCACUUAAAUCUUGUGCACCUUGUAUGUCGUUAUUCAAAGGGCCAAUGGUGAAAACACCAGAAAAUAACCACUAAAAUGUAAGCAAGAAGUUCAAAUCACGUAGGAAUAAUCAGCCAGCAUAUCCUUUCUUUUGAAACAAAAUUGAAUUCUAAAUGGUUUUAACAUAAAUACUUGCGGUUACAAGAGCGCAAUUAUUGGCCAUGCUUUUUCCAUCGGAUACCACUGGUGUUCUGUAUUUUUCCCCCUAAAAAAACUACACAAACAAGGGAAGAACGGGUAGCAGUUCCUGUUACUAGAAAUUUUCAGUGUUGCAUUACAACCAAAAAAAUAUAUAUUGUCAUGCGGCAAAAGUUGACUUAAAAUGCAGUUGAAACAGAACGACUAUUUUUUUCUCUUAAUGAAAAAGGCAUAUUUUUAAUGGCUCCGAAGUGCAGAAAUGGAAUAUUGUCUAUGCUUUGUAAAAUAAUAUGAAUAUGAUUUUCUGCAUUUUUUAAACCUAAUUGGAUAAACUUUCGAUUAAAUGUAAUUCCAAUCCUGUAUCAUCCAAUCAGAAGCCGUAUAGGAUUCUAAUAUGAGUACUAUCUUGGGGUAAAAAAAAACUUGCCGGUAAAAUGUAAGCAAACAAUUGCGCUCUUGUAACCUUGAAAUAGCCUCAAAAUAAUGUCGAAAACCGUACCUCUCUAUUUUUAUUGUGUAUAAAUAUAACAAGUACCUACUAAUCUUUAAAGGUUUGAAUUUAAUAUUCUUCUCCUCGUCGAGAGAAUAAACAAACGAAACUCAAUUUGAUUCAUGCAUAAAAUGUUUUAUUUAUUCAUCUCUUCGUCUACUUUACCAAGAUAAUUUUUGAAUAUCUUAGGCAGAAUAAAAAAAGGAUGUGUGUGUUUAAAAUAACGGUACCCACCCUAUUUUUUAGUAAAAAAAAUUAAUUAGUUUAAAUUUUUUUUUUUUGGCAUUCAAUAAGCACUUUAAAGUCAGAAUGCCCCUUCCAUACACUGAAGGUAAUAAAAAGGUAAUAACACGGAGCUACAAUAAGGCAUUUGCUUUAAAAACUAAUUUUCAUAUAUACAUUAUAGUAUGUACAAGUGCAUGUAUAUACAUUUUCAUUUAAUUACAUUGUUCAAUAUAGAGACAUAUCCAUUCUCUUUCACUAACUAUAUUCAACUCUCUCGAAUCGCAACAUUUAGCAACUUUUAUCAUCGCGAAGGCCUUCACUAUUUUCAUGACUUUCUCACACAUUAAAAUCGUCAUUCAUCUCUAGAUCACACAAGUAUAGGAACAUAAUAUAAACAAACAAACAGAAACAUACAUUAUACGGCUUCUCAUUAAAAUGAUUACAGUUAAAACACAAACAGUGCAUCAUAAAUUAAAUUUAACGGUCAAUCAGACAGUCAGCUUAAGUUGUAAAAUCGGAGUUCACGAAAACAAUAAAUCUACAAAUACUGAACACUUUUGACCAAGCGUCGUAUUUUAAACCCUAAGUUAAUUAACCUCACAUAUAAAGUAAAAUCGAACUGAACUUCUAUAUCUAUUUUCAAAUUUUCCACUUUCUCUUAUGAAAGGUUAAAAUGUUCGAUUUUAUGAAUUUAAAUAUUUUGACAUUCGACCGGACAUAACAUAAGCUUCACAAAUAAAAUUAAUUUUAACUUGGACAAUUAAAUAACUAUGGAAAUGAGAUCAGUGAUAAUUAUUUCUAAUUUAAGAGUAUAUACUUUUGAAGAUGAGGCCACCGAUUGAACAACUAUUGUUAUGACUAUUCAUUCAUCAUUGAUUCUAAUUUUGUAGUGUGUUUAAUGGCGGUAUCAUCCCAAAGUUGUGGUGUCUGUGACCUCCGCCACCUCACCAAACCAUCAAUAGUCUGGUGUACAGAAUGUGACGAGGGAUUAUGUACAGAAUGCAACGAACAUCAUGGUAUGUCUAAGGCAUCGCGAAGUCAUAGUGUAAUACCUAUUGCCGAAUACCAGAAACUACCAGCUAAUGUACUGAAAAGUACUCAGUAUUGUUCCAGUCACGAUAAAAAAUAUCAAUUUUAUUGCCAGAAGCAUGAAUGUCCCUGCUGUAGUAAAUGUAUGAUGAAAAGUCACAAAGAAUGUCAGGGAUUGGUAGAAUUAGAUGACGUCAUUCAUAGCGUCAAAACCUCCAAUGCCCUGUGUGAGAUAGAGGAAACAUUAGUUGAAGUAGCAGAAAAUCUACAGAAAAUUCGCCAGCAUCAACAAGACAAUCUGUUGACUUUUAAAGAAAAAAGAAAAGAAAUCGAAAAAGAAAUUAAGAAAACUAGAAUGAAGAUCAACAAUCACCUCGACAAACUACAAGAAGAUUUAAUGAAACAACUCAACGAGCUCGAAGAAAAAGAAAACUCUAAAAUUUGUCAGUUAAUGUCCUCGCUAGAAAAGAAAGAAAAAGAAAUAGGAGAAUGCCAAAAAAACCUUUUCAACAUCAAGAAACACGCAACAGAUCUUCAAAUGUUUCUCUCAAUUAAGCAAAUAGAAGAGGACGUUUAUAGCAAAGAAAUACAAUUGCAGGCUCUUGUAGAAGGCAAGGAACAGCAUACUCUUUCAUAUCAGAUCAACACCUCUAUCCAGAAUAUCAUAUCCGAUAUCAGAAGUUUUGGGGAAGUGCGUAUUGAAUAUAAUCCAUGCGACAUAGUUCUAAUCAGGAAGAAGGCCAGACAAGCCCAAUUGAUGAUUCCAAUCGUUCUAACAACAUCUAUAGAUAAUAUAAAGCUAACGACACACAAGUCCAUCGACACUCAAGGACAUAAUAUUUACGGAUGUUGCAUACUUCCAGAUGAUAGAUUUGUAUUUACUUACUACUUGGCUAAACAAUUAAAAGUUUUCAGUGAUAAAGGGUCAAAAGACUUUGAGGUGAAUAUGCUGUGUAGACCGUUUGAUAUAGUAUACAUCAUUGAAGACAAUACAUUGGCUGUAUCAACUUAUUAUCCAGGGACCAUUACAAUAAUAAACCUGGAGACAAAACAAAUGAUGAAAUCAAUUGCAAUGGAUUCGAAUAUUGAUGGCAUAGCACUGAAAGGUAAUCAAUUGAUUUAUUCCGGGAGAGGCAAAGGAAUACGAAUGAUUAAUCUAAACGACGAGUCAAUAAGUGGCAUAGUCCGAGACGCAAUGCCCAGUGUUUGCUACACUGCAACCUUUAAGGACAAUAUAUAUCAUACAAACCGCUUAGUAAACACUGUUACCUGUUAUAAUUUACAAGGUAAAAUACAAUGGACAUUUCGUAACAAA
RNAcentral lists this long non-coding RNA (7750 nucleotides) under Mytilus galloprovincialis (Mediterranean mussel). Lineage: Eukaryota; Metazoa; Mollusca; Bivalvia; Mytilida; Mytilidae. The record is from RNAcentral.